GGGUCAGUAGGUUGGUCGUGCCACCGGUACGUACUGGUCUCACUGAUUCCUCCCUCCUGAAGAACCGUAAUGCCAUUAAUUUGGUGUUGCGGGGAAACAGGACUGUUACUUUGAAAAAAUUAGAGUGUUUAAAGCAAGCUAACGCUUGAAUACAUUAGCAUGGAACAAUGAAAUAGGACGAUCGAUCCUAUUUUGUUGGUUUCUAGGAUUGACGUA
RNAcentral lists this ribosomal RNA (216 nucleotides) under Glomeromycotina sp. Its description in RNAcentral is "partial small subunit ribosomal RNA". The stretch from base 75 to 216 matches the Rfam family "Eukaryotic small subunit ribosomal RNA", at positions 721 to 864 of the family's 1831-position model. Lineage: Eukaryota; Fungi; Glomeromycota. The record is from RNAcentral.